This 1579-nucleotide long non-coding RNA is filed under the name Marmota monax (woodchuck). The record is from RNAcentral. Lineage: Eukaryota; Metazoa; Chordata; Mammalia; Rodentia; Sciuridae.
CCCUGGUAUGGAAAAUGGAGGGGAGAAUAAAGGAGGGAGGGAUAAAGAAGGCAUACCAAAUUAAUGAGAUGGUUCUACUGUCCAGGGGUGUAUUGGCUAUCUACUCUGAGUAACAAAUUACUCCAAAAUUCAGUAGCUUAAAACAAUAAAUACUUAUUAUCUCAUUGUUUUGGUGGGUUAGGAAUCUUUUGCUGGAUGCCUCUUGAUUCAUGAUCAUGAGGGUCUCUCGUGAUCAAGGUAUUACUAGUCAUCCAAAUCCAGUCAUCCCUGUAUUUGAUUUAGGGUGAAUUUGAUUCCACUCACAUGGUUGUUGGCAGAGACAUUAUUUCUUUUCACAAGGGCUUUUGCAGACUUCUCAAAACAUGGAAACCAGAGUCUUUUUAUAAUAUUAGGUUCCAUGAUUUUUGCCAUAUCUGAGUGAGUCACUAAGUCUAGGCUGUACCCAAAGAGAAGAGAAUGCACGAGAGGAUUAGUAUAGGAGGUAAGGUUUGGAGAGCCAGUUAGAGACUGCUCACCCUGAUUCUAGUGAGAGAUUUCUACCAAAAUCUAUACCAGGAGGUACUGGGAUUACCUUGGACCUCUGUCAGCCUGAUGGGCUUCCCUCCUUCAAAUGCUGCUGGAAGGUGGGCACUGCCAGUUAGUGGUUUUUAUGUUUCCCUUUUCUUGGUCUAAGAUGAGUUUCUAUAUUGGAACUAUGGCUGAAGUCUGUGAAGCUGUUUCCUAAAAUUACAUUUGUGUUUUGAGCAUUUUAUAUAAAGAGAGUGAGGCUACAGUGAACCAAAAAGUUUAAAAGCCACUAGUCUAAGUUAAUGUUGGACUUUCUGUUUCGUCUUGGUUCAAAGAAGAUACCAACCAGAGAAUGGAUAGAUUAUAAUCCAAUAAUCAGUUAGCUAUUCUCCCGUUAAAGGGAAUUAAGAUUAUUCCCAGUUCACUUUGGAUGGUAUUUUGGACAUUGCCAUGCUCUUAAAUCACAGAGCACAUUCAUACAAAAAAGUUUACUUCCAUAGUUGGGAGGAAAUCACACCAAAUAUGCUUUUUAGGGAAAUAGUACUGUUAGGUAAUUAACCAGCCAUGAAUGGGUGAGCCCGGAAAGAACAAUGAAGGGCAACUGAAAACCACAGGGAGGCUUAUCUGAAAGAUAAAUAUCUGGAAGAUGGAAUUUGGUAUGUGAAAACCUCUACCAGCCAUAAUUACAUACACUAAGAAAAAUUAAGAUCAUGUCACACCCUACUAGGUGAGAUAGCCUGGAACACUCCCUUAUCACCAAAAUUAUGUCACAGCCCUCAAUUACCCCAAACAUGACCAUCACAAAGAAAGCUUGCUAAAAACUAUUCAAAGGGUAGUAAAUUGAUAAAGGGGCAGGAAAUUGAAGCAAAAACAGGGGAACUCAAUUACCUUAUCAUCCUCUGUUCAAGGUGGUCUGUGCAGUUCCUAUACUGUUAGUCAGAAGUCAAGAGGUAGACCUAGGUAGGACUCUGGAAAUGUCCUUGGGAUCCCCAAUAAAACUUGAGGGCAGGAGGGGCAUGCUGUCCUUCUCUUUGUGAGGAUCCAUUCUCUCCCAUGAGAGUGUCCCUUUUCC